GAUGAACGCUGGCGGCGUGCCUAAUACAUGCAAGUCGAGCGAACAGACGAGGAGCUUGCUCCUCUGACGUUAGCGGCGGACGGGUGAGUAACACGUGGAUAACCUACCUAUAAGACUGGGAUAACUUCGGGAAACCGGAGCUAAUACCGGAUAAUAUAUUGAACCGCAUGGUUCAAUAGUGAAAGACGGUUUUGCUGUCACUUAUAGAUGGAUCCGCGCCGCAUUAGCUAGUUGGUAAGGUAACGGCUUACCAAGGCAGCGAUGCGUAGCCGACCUGAGAGGGUGAUCGGCCACACUGGAACUGAGACACGGUCCAGACUCCUACGGGAGGCAGCAGUAGGGAAUCUUCCGCAAUGGGCGAAAGCCUGACGGAGCAACGCCGCGUGAGUGAUGAGGGUCUUCGGAUCGUAAAACUCUGUUAUUAGGGAAGAACAAAUGUGUAAGUAACUAUGCACGUCUUGACGGUACCUAAUCAGAAAGCCACGGCUAACUACGUG
RNAcentral lists this ribosomal RNA (497 nucleotides) under uncultured bacterium. RNAcentral's name for it is "partial 16S ribosomal RNA". It matches the Rfam family "Bacterial small subunit ribosomal RNA", at positions 28 to 507 of the family's 1533-position model. The record is from RNAcentral.